CGGCCCCUCCCCCGCAAGGAUGGGGAAGUCAAGGCAGCAAGCGCCGCGAGCGUGCGUCUGGUUGUCGGCGCGCACACCUCGUCGUUCUCCUUGCGUGAAUUAAGAGUUUUGCGGGGCUCCCACAUUUGCUCUGCUGGAGUUAGUUGCCUCCGCUACUGGGUCGCAUCCAGGACGUCUUAAAUUGGCCAGUUUCCUCUCCAGAUUGCGUAGUCCCCCUUUCCUCUGCACGACCACCUUCCCCGCCCCUGGCCUCAUGCCUACCUCCAAGGGAGAGCUGAAAGCCAAAGAAUUACCUCUGGGAACACCACCGACAAUUAAGAAUCUGGAUGAACCCGCCCCAUUGUGAAAUUCACAUAGUUUGAACUACUCAUGGCACGGAAACUUAUCAAAUGUGGCCGGAGCCAAAAACUACCCUGGAUCAAGCCAAACUGCCCCUGCUUCUAGUAUAGUAAACGUACACCCCUGGCAGAGGCAGUAAAAACAAGAGCAUAUCUAACAAGUAACUCCACCACACCUGGACAACUGCACGGUUAUACAAUAUGCCCUUGCACGCAUGAAUACCUAUGCAUGGCUCAGGACCCCAGCACAGUGGCUUACUGUGAUCCUUCCAAGGUGACCAAGCACUAAGCCACUCCACCCCAGCAGUAAAAUGCAUAUUUACCAGUCCCAAGCCCAAAGCCAACACUGCUGCCAGUCCCAACUCUCAGAAUGUGGCCAGUAGCAAGAGGAAACAGACACCUAAAGAGAAGGAGAAAUACAAUUUAAAUAAAAUCUAAAUUCAACUAGAAGAGCCAGACUCUCUGAACCAGAGGAGAUAAAAGUCCUGUGCUUGGAGCUGCUGAGGUGCAAAAUGAGACCCAGAACAAGUAUACUUUGAUGGGGACCAGAGCAAAGAACCGGAGCACAGAGCAUUACCUAGAAGAGCAGAACUGAGCACAGCAUUAUUACCGUGGAGCAUCCUGGCUAAGGAGGCUGCAAUGCCAACUGCAUCACCAGGAUCCCUGAUACUCCGGCUUCCUAUUGCCUGUAGCCAAUUGGAAGUGCUGGCAGGAGAUCAUAGUGUGACACAGAAAGGAAGUCAGGGUAAUUCUUCCUCUAGUUCUCUGCCUUACAAGUAGCUACUGGUCAGCCAUGUCCCUCUACUGAAGGUCCCAGCUCCUUAUGGGCCGUCCUCACUCCUCAAUAUAGCUACCCUCUCUGGGUUCCAGUAACUAGCUCAGAAUUCUGUAUUACCUCUGUAAAUGUCCCCCACUUGAAAAUCCCAAUUUUAUUAAGCUCUUCUUAAAAUAUCCAAUUGCAUGUGCCAUCUAAGACCACUUCUGAUAGUCAAUCAACAUCCAUCAAACUGACAGCAUGAUAAUUAAGAUCAUAAAAACUGCCCCCAAGACAAGUACUGACCCAGACUUUGUCCUAUAAUUUUAUUAGUUUGAAUUGUUACAAAGGGGACUUUCAAAAGUCCCCUCUCCCCCUUUGGUGGUACUGGAGAUUGAACCCAAGACUUCUCAUGUGCUAGGCAAGUAUUCUACCACUGAGCCACAUCAUCAACCUUUAAUUUUUUCUGUGUCCUAUACUUCCAGUUUGAAUAAGUUCCCUUCAAAUGAAUAGUAAUACCUGGGUAAUACCCUUGUUAAGUAUGUAUAGGUGUUAGAUAUAUGCUUGCUUUUUCACUCAAUUGCGCAAAGAUGUAAAACUAAAACUGUAUUGAAGCCGUAAAUUAUUAAGAGUAACUAAAUAUUAAUAGAUUAUAGUGCAGUAAUUCAGAGUACAAGCUUGCUGUCAGAUAGAUAGGCACUGAAAUCUUAACUGUGGGCUUUGAAAAGUUACUUAAUCUCUCCAAGCCUUGGUUUUUCUCUUCCAUGAAUAGUUGUAUAAUUGGGAUCAAUCGAAAAAUUUGUCCCUGGAGGUCAAUUUUUUUCAAUUGAUUAUUCUACUAGUCUAUAUUCUUGUCUUAUGGUCUACAGAAGUCAGAGAGAAAGCAGCUACAUACAGCUAUUACUAGAAUUUCUACUCUAUUAUAGUUAAUAUGUACAAUUCAUGUCAAAAGGUAUGCAAGCAUUACUACAAACUGCAUCGGAUACAGCUUGGUGGUCCAGGUUAUUACUUGCAAAUCCACAAGUCCUGUUUUAGCCACAAAAUCAAGUAUCGUUGCAGCUGUUCUCCCAAGAGGGAAAUAUGGGGUUUUGGUAUCAUAGAUACCACUCAUCAGCUAGCUAUUAGUUAUUUGGAAAUUGUUAGCAACCAUUCUGCCCAAAAUUUACUGCCUAUUUUGCAAUGCAUAAUUCAGACGUGCUGUACAUUCUUUCCAAUUUAUGAUCUAUGUAUAAUAAUUUUCAGCUUCUUUUUAAUUUUCAACAUACUCAGUUUAGCAAUUCAUGUAACUUCUUACAUUGAGUCAUAUUAGAGCAAAUGUAAAGCAAGAUCCAAGACCAUGGGAAGAGUUUAUCCAGAUAUAUUAAACUCAUUUUUGACUGAGUUUAUAUGGUGCAAUUAAUAUGGAAAAUAAUGCUUUAAUUCUUUUUUAAUGCAUAUCUCAAAACACAUUUCUGGUAACUAAUAUGAUACUUUGACUUUGGAUUUUAGUAUUAACCUUUCAGGGGCAAAUUCUUCAAUUGAGUACAUCUGACAGACAACUUAAUCCGAUAACCAUAACUACUUUAGUGUGUUGUGAAAGCUAAAUGAGGUUUAUUUAUAAAAUAGGAAUACAGUAAGGACUUGAAAAAUGUUAACUGUCAUCAUUGCUAUUAGUUUUAAUUUGAAAUCCUCCAAUGACAUGACGAUGAACAUCUUUUUAUGUGCUUUUUAGCUAUCUGUCUACUUCGGUGAGGUAUCUAUUCAGAUCUUUUGCCCAUUUUUCAGUUGGGUUGUUAAUUUUCUUAUCGAUGAGUUUUAAGAAUUCUUGGUAGCUUGUGGAUAAUGGUCCUUUAUCAGAUAUGUCAUUUACAGAUAUUUGCUGAUAGUCUGUGCCUUAUUUUCUCAUUUUUUAAAAUAUUAUUGCUAUUUUGAUACUAAAAUAUUAUUAAAAUGAGGGAUAUAUACUAAGAAGAACCAAUAAAAUAAACUCUAAAAAAAUUAAAAUCAUGACACAUUCUAGUGAAUCAUCUCAUACAGUUGUUGUGGGGAUUACAUGAGUUAAUAUUUCCAAAAUACUUAGGAAACUACUAUAGUCAAAAAUUAUGUGAGUGUUAAUUAAUACACAAUUAUUAUUUAAGUACAAAUACCUAGGAACAAUUCACUUUCUUUCUCCAUAUCUUUUUAUUAUAUGACUUCAUCCUGAAACUUUUUUCCUAGGUUUAUAGACCUUCCUAAGCACAUACAUAAUUAAGUUCUGACUUUUUACAUCAGGUCAGUUUACGGUCAAAAGUUAUUUCAAGUUUUCUUGAAUAUUUUAUUCCUCACUAUGUUAGCCAACAUUUCUUCACUAUAACAAAAUAUCCAAGAAAAUCAACGUGAAGGAGGAAAGACUUAUUUUCACUUAAACUUUCAGAGAUUUCAGUCCAUGGUCACUUGGCCCUGCUGCCUUGGGCCUUUAGUGAGGCAGAAUGUGGUAGAGCGAAGGUGCUCGCUGUGGUAGUCAGGAAGCAAAGCAAGAGAGACAGAGGGAGGAAGGGGCUGGGGACCAGAUAUAUCCUUCCAGGCACACCCUCAGUGACUUUUUCCAAUAUGUCCUACCUCCUACAAUUUCCACCACCUCCCAAUAAUUCAUUCAAUUAUGAACACAUCACAGGAUACAUCCAUUGAUGAGGUCAGGUCCCUCAUCAAUGUCUCUCAUCAUUUCCCUAAAGCCUGCUCUGAUAAUUACUGCACUGAAGAUUAAGCCUUAACACAUUAGCCUUUGGGGGACAUUCCAAAUCCAAACCACAAUACCCACACUCUUAAAUGAGAUCAUAUAUAUCUUUUUUAGAGCAUGUUAAUUAUACGUAGCCAUUGGGUUAAUUUUGACAAAAUCAUACAUGCAAGGAAUUUGAUUUCAAGCCCUAUCCCCCCAUAUAUCUUUCUACCACUAUGGUAGAACAAUUGGACCUGCUUUCCAACCCAACUUCUCACCUUGACCCCCACCUCAGUGACAUAAAUCUGGAAAACAAGUGAUUGGGAAGAAAUGACUGGAACUGGAGCAGUUGAUUCUCCAUUAAUUUAGGGAUUUAUGUGCAUUAAAUUUGGAGAUAACUCAGAAUAGUGAAGGGAUAAAUGCUUUCUUUAAAACAAUGAUCCAGAGUUCCUGCUCUCCAGGUGUCAAAUUUAUGAUAAUGGGGAAUAUGAAAUUCCUUAUUUAGACGAGGCAAGUGUUUUCAUGACUAAACUCAUCUUUGAUUUUGUGGCUUGUGUUCCGGUACACAGACGAAGGUGCCCGAGGCCCAGAGUAGAUAUUGCUGUCUUACCGCUCCCUUCCCCUGUCCUCUGGAUAGAAGCUUAAAGUGCCUCUUUUCGUGCAGGAGCCAACAGACCCCAACACCAGAGCCUUUUAGUCAUAGCUGAGAGCAGAAAUUCUGAAUAUGUGAGUAAAUCUGCUGAUACCCUGUGAAGUCUGAGGAUGUAAAUGUUACUUAUACAAGAAAAAAACUCAAGGGGUCUGAAAUUUGACUAUUUCUUUCGAGAAAAGGGUAGAUUCUAAGAGAAAAGGUGUUUGGUGGGGAUGGGGGUUAGAGGAGAAGGCUAAUAAAAAUGAGAGAGAAGAAGCUGGUACCAAGGGAAUGUCCAUGAGGGAUGCUCUCUAAAAGCCUCGGUGAAAAUAUCCAGCUCCUUAUCUAUGGUACACAUAAACAAAUUCUAGAACAGGCACCUUGCUUGAUUUCUCCCAGGCUCUUCCCUCUACAUUAGCAAGGAGUCUUUUGGAUGUAAAUGAUAGAGAUGAAAACUAGCCAAAGUGUUAAAGGGAAAUUGUAGGUUUCAAUAAACAGGAAGACUAAUAGGUGAACUGAUUUCAGGUGAGCUGGAUCCAGGGGUUCGAAUUAUAACAUUAGGACUUUGUUUUCUCUGACAUCUCUUAGUUCUACAGACAGCUAAUUAUGUUGAUUUCCGUCAGAAUUCCUCCAUGUGAUAUCAAAGAUAAUCACUAGAUAUCCCUAGCUUGUGCCAUCCUUCAAGAUAAAGAGAAAACAGAGAACCUUUUCUCCCCAGCAUGUCAUUCAGUUGAUAUCAGUCUCUGCAGAGGCCCCUGAUGAGACUGUGUCCAUCUCUCUGGAUCCAAGAGGAUGAGACAUUUUGACUAGUCAACUUGAGAUUGAUGCCUACAAUAACCACAUGGUAGGGGGAGAGGCCUUUCCCAGCCGUCCAAGGCAAUCUCAGUUCUGUAAUUCUGGUUAGAAUACUUCUCUAAACUAUGAAAUGAGCUUAUUUUUACUCCCAUGGUGUAUUUGAUGCCACCUCAGGCAUCAAGGACAGGCCACGGAUCAUCCUCUCAGAACUUUUUCCCCCAUGGUGGAUCAGCGGGUGAUGCUUUGCCUAGAUAUUGAAAUCGAGAUUUAAAACCUUGGAAGGUUACUGGGCUGUACCACCGCCCCAACUUUCCUUCCUACUUUCCCUAGCUGGUCACUAAGGCCACACCUAUGACACAGGAAAAGAAAGCAUCUGGCACAGAUUAUGUCAGUACACUAACCACAUGUAUUCUUUCAUACUCUCACUUCACCAAUCUGUUUUUGACUCCACUGGGGUCAAACCAAGAAGACAAGACAGAAAAGAGAUCAUGCCAGAUUAGUCACAUAAUUCCUCUGUGAAAACUUGAUGAUGACCUCUUAUAUUUCAGUGAAGCUUUUUUUUUUUUUUUUUUGACAGCUGGCUUUUAAAAGUCGUCUACUAGAUAGAUUCAAUUUAAUGACCAAUUUCUUUUUAAUAACCUUGGCAGGCCCCCUGGAGUUUUGGUCAUUGAAAUAGAACAUAAUAGAAUUUUCUCAAGAAAUAAAAGAUGAUUUUUUUAAUAUAGCUUCUCACAUUUAAACACAUUUGCCUAUGUGGUCCAUCCGAAAAGCUAGAACUAAUGAAAUGACAUUCUCAUUUUCUUAUUUUCAGAGUCUUCUCCUCCACCUUAUGCAUCUUUCAAAACCCUAAUCUAAAAUGAUUCCUUCCAGGAAGUCUUCAUUGAUUAAUUACUCCCGGGUCUGAUGACUUAUUUUUCUCAUCAUAUAAAUAACAGCAGUGGAUUAUGUUCACCUUUUCUGAGUUCCUAAGUGGAUUUGAAAUUUCAUGAGUCUUGGGAUUUGAAUGUAUCCUUCGCACCCUCAAUUUCUUAGGCAGGCGUCUUCUUUCCUUUUUCUAUAGAAUCUUCCCUUUCCUUGCCCCUCAUUUCUUUGCUUUAAGAAAAGACAAAAGAGAAACUUAUUUAUUGGUGUAGUGAGGAUAUCCUGAGCUCCAGAAAUUGCCAGAGCCUAGGUGAAAGUCCAGCUUUAUUUACUGACUGCAUGGGAGUUAGUUAAAAGCUUGAUUUCUGACAUAAAGAAGAUUCUUGAGGCUUUGUCUGAGAGUUAAAUAAGAUGUGUUCAAAAGCGUGUAAGGAUGUUUAGAGAUCUUUUGGAAAGCCCUUUUUUGCUUAGUGAUAUGAUCAUAGAAGAUACUGAAUCCAUGGAAUAUCUUUCUCACUUGUUGUUGAUAUCUAAAAUUCUCUUCCAGAAGACAAAACUUGUUAUGCAAAUUAGAAGUAAGAUUAAAGUUGCCAAUAGUCUUGAGGCAAGUAAUAAUGAACUUAAAUAUGUUCACUCUGCCACAUACAUUAAAUACCUGGCCCAGCACCCCAUCAAGUUUCCUUCCUUUGCCUGUGAUUGAGAACAGUAAUUGGCCAUCCCUUACCUGCGACUGACAGCUUUAUUUGUUAUCCCCCCCUCAGCCUGUGAUGUGCCUCAGAACUCUCUACACAGGAUGCUUGACAGACAUUACCAAUCGUAGUGUGAGAGGUGAUAUUAAGCCCUUAUUGUUCCACCUAUGUUAAGACAUUCAACAUGGACACUGGUUAGUUUUCAAAGAGCAGGAUUUGAUUUAAGGGUAAGAGGUACAUUAGAGGAAAACAAUAAGAGAGCAAUUAUUUCUGGGUGAGGAGAUGAGAAAGGGCACCAGGAGAGAAAAGAUGCAACUUCUCUAGGCUGAUACAUUUUCUAAGCUGCAGCCAUUAUGCACAAAUGUAUUUCUCCAGGACUGAACUGAAAGGAUUGCCUCUCAUUGCCUCAUGGACAUGUUACUUGUUGACCUAGUUCCAUUUUCUUAUCUUCAUUGUCUUCCUUUCUUUGUCAACUUUGAUCCAUUUCUUUGUUCCAAAAUCCAUGUGUCUAAUUCCCCUAUUUUUGUCAGGAAAUAGGGAUUAGGUUAUGUUUAAGGUCAACUAUGACUCCAGACUCUUGAUUCCAUGUUCCUGACUAAGUUUUUCUUCUUCAUUCAACCCUCAACUUCUGGGUUGACACAUCCACAGUCAGGUUUCCUAAUAAUGACACAAUUAUUGGCAAGUCUUGAACUGUCAUCUUACCUGAUUGCAUAGACUCCUGUCACUAGAUACAGUCAAGUCAAUGAUGGGAUUAAACAUAGGCUGGAAUUGUAAGGUUCACUGUUUUAUCUUGACACUUAUAAGCCUGCACAAGACCAUUCACAAAGUGAUAGUCAAAUACAUUGAGGUCAACUAAAAGUCACUUAUUAGUGCCUAAAGUUAGUAUAAUCUUUUAUUAUAAUUAUAACACACUAAAGCCAAACUGGAUUUCUAAGCUUAACAAUUCUCUUUUCUGAACUUUGGUUUUCUACUCUAACCAAAAAGGAGGACUGAAGUAUUAUGGGUAAACUCCAGGGCCUCUGCUGGUUCUUACAUUCCAUGCUUCUUUGGAAACAAUGGAGAGACUAUUAGUAGAGAGCAGUGUAGGGCUUUGGAGCUAGGAGAAGCAGAGUUUGGGAGCUAGAACAGUUUUGCCUGGUUCUUGCCAGAUUCAAGAGGUGCUCUUCUCACCAUAAUUAACACUUUUACUCAGAAAAUCUGAAAUCUGAUAGGUUCCAAAAUCUGAAACUUUUUGAGUACCACAGUGACACCAUGAGUAAAAAAAUGCCACAUCAUAAAACUCUGCUUUAUGUAUAAAAUAAUUAAGGCUAUUACAUAAAAUUAUCACUGUGCUAGGGCAGAGAGGAUCAAGUAUCAUGGAGCCUUAUGUGGUCCUUGUAGGAAAUUUGAAUCUGACCAAGACAGCGAUGGAAGCCACUGGAUUGUGUCUCCCUACCAGAGAGUUCCAUUUGGAUUCUCUAUUCCUAUUAAAUGAGGAAAGGUUUCAUCCUUAGCCAGUUUGCUGCAAAUAUAAAGAACAGAUCAGUACCUCACACCUAUGAGGAUGACUGCCAUUUAAAAAAAAUCCAUAAAAUGAGCAGAUACGUGUUGCAGAGGAUGAGAAGAGAUUGGAAACUUUGUGCACUGUGUGUGGGAAUGUAAAAUAGUGCUACUGCUAUAGAAAACAAGAUGGAGGUGCCUCAAAAAAUUGAAAAUAAAAUCUUACAUGAUCCAGGAAUUCCACAUCUGGGUAUAUGUUCCAAAAAAUAUUGAAAGUAAAGUCUUGAAGAGAUAAAUGCAUUUCCAUGUUCAUGGUAGCAUUAUUCAUAAUAGUCAAGGGGUGGAAGCAACCCAAAUCAUGACUGAUGGAUGCGUGGAUAAGCAAAGUGUGACACCUAUAAACCAUGGACUAUUACUCAGCCUUGAAAAGAAAGGAAAUUCCUUCACAAGCUACCAACUUGAUAAACCUUUAGGUCAUGCUAUCUGAAAUAAGUCACACACAAACAAAAAUACUCUAUGAUUCCACUUAAGUUGGAUAUUUAAAAGUAUUCAAGUUCAUGGAAAGAGAAAUAGAAUGAAUAGUGGUUUCCAGAGGCUUUGGGGAGGAAGGAAUGGGGAAUUGUUCAGUGGGUAGAUGGUUUCUGUUUUGUGAGAUGAAGAAGUUCUGGAGACUGAUGGCAUAGCAGUGUACAUACACUUAACAUUGCUGAACUGAA
Ictidomys tridecemlineatus (thirteen-lined ground squirrel) is the source of this 8937-nucleotide non-coding RNA. The record is from RefSeq and is a predicted model, not a curated record. NCBI's taxonomy places the organism in Eukaryota, Metazoa, Chordata, Mammalia, Rodentia, Sciuridae.